AGUGAACGCUGGCGGUAGGCCUAACACAUGCAAGUCGAACGGCCGCACAGUAAGAGCUUGCUCUUACGGGUGGCGAGUGGCGGACGGGUGAGGAAUACAUCGGAAUCUACUUUUUCGUGGGGGAUAACGUAGGGAAACUUACGCUAAUACAGCAUACGACCUACGGGUGAAAGCAGGGGAGCUUCGGACCUUUCGCGAUUGAAUGAGCCGAUGUCGGAUUAGCUAGUUGGCGGGGUAAAGGCCCACCAAGGCAACGAUCCGUAGCUGGUCUGAGAGGAUGAUCAGCCACACUGGAACUGAGACACGGUCCAGACUCCUACGGGAGGCAGCAGUGGGGAAUAUUGGACAAUGGGCGAAAGCCUGAUCCAGCCAUACCGCGUGGGUGAAGAAGGCCUUCGGGUUGUAAAGCCCUUUUGUUGGGAAAGAAAAGCAGCGGGUUAAUACCCCGCUGUUCUGACGGUACCCAAAGAAUAAGCACCGGCUAACUUCGUG
This 492-nucleotide ribosomal RNA is filed under the name uncultured bacterium. Its description in RNAcentral is "partial 16S ribosomal RNA". It matches the Rfam family "Bacterial small subunit ribosomal RNA", at positions 29 to 507 of the family's 1533-position model. The record is from RNAcentral.